This 450-nucleotide ribosomal RNA is filed under the name uncultured bacterium. Its description in RNAcentral is "partial 16S ribosomal RNA". It matches the Rfam family "Bacterial small subunit ribosomal RNA", at positions 354 to 796 of the family's 1533-position model. The record is from RNAcentral.
GUGGGGAAUAUUCCGCAAUGGACGAAAGUCUGACGGAGCAACGCCGCGUGAGUGAUGAAGGUUUUCGGACUGUAAAGCUCUGUUGUUUAGGACGAAAGUGCCUGUUGCGAAUAGUUACAGGUAUUGACGGUACUGAACGAGGAAGCCACGGCUAACUACGUGCCAGCAGCCUCGGUAAUACGUAGGUGGCAAGCUUUGUCCGGAAUUAUUGGGCGGAAAGAGCAUGUAGGCUGGUAUCUAAGUCUGUUGUGAAAAUGCGGGGCUCAAGCCGGUAGGGCGAUGGAAACUGGAUUUCUUGAGUGCAGGAGAGGAAAGGGGAAUUCCCAGUGUAGCGGUGAAAUGCGUAGAUAUUGGGAGGAACACCAGGGGCGAAGGCGCCUUUCUGGACUGUGUCUGACGCUGAGAUGCGAAAGCCAGGGUAGCGAACGGGAUUAGAUACCCCUGUAGUCC